This 63-nucleotide transfer RNA is filed under the name Rattus norvegicus (Norway rat). It matches the Rfam family "tRNA", at positions 1 to 62 of the family's 71-position model. From Rfam's summary of the family: Transfer RNA (tRNA) molecules are approximately 80 nucleotides in length. The record is from Rfam by way of RNAcentral. Lineage: Eukaryota; Metazoa; Chordata; Mammalia; Rodentia; Muridae.
GGGGAUUUAGCUCAGUGGUAGAGCGCUUGCUUAGUAAGCACAAGGCCCUGGGUUCAGUCCCCA